Molecule: ribosomal RNA, 448 nt
Filed under: uncultured bacterium
Lineage: Bacteria
Description: bacterial SSU rRNA
Rfam family: Bacterial small subunit ribosomal RNA
Source: RNAcentral
CCCAGACUCCUACGGGAGGCAGCAGUGGGGAAUAUUGCACAAUGGGGGGAAACCCUGAUGCAGCGACGCCGCGUGAGUGAAGAAGUAUUUCGGUAUGUAAAGCUCUAUCAGCAGGGAAGAAAAUGACGGUACCUGACUAAGAAGCCCCGGCUAACUACGUGCCAGCAGCCGCGGUAAUACGUAGGGGGCAAGCGUUAUCCGGAUUUACUGGGUGUAAAGGGAGCGUAGACGGCAUGGCAAGUCAGAUGUGAAAGCCCGGGGCCCAACCCCGGGACUGCUCUGGAAACUGCGUCGCUGGAGUACGGGAGGGGCAGGCGGAAUUCCUGGUGUAGCGGUGAAAUGCGUAGAUAUCAGGAGGAACACCGGCGGCGAAGGCGGCCUGCUGGACCGUGACUGACGUUGAGGCUCGAGAGCGUGGGGAGCAAACAGGAUUAGAUACCCGGGUAUC